GUAAAAUGCACGUUUCUUUUUUUCGCUGAUUGUAUUUCUGUAAUACAGUGUUAAAGGAUUAGUUCAAACAAAAAUGAAAAUUUCCUAAUCAUUUACUCCUCCCAAUGCCAUCCAGGAUAUCCAUGGCUUUUUUCUUCAGUGGAAAAUAAAUGAUGUUUUUUAAGUCUUCAUAUAAUGGACUUCAAUGCCUACCAACUUAAUACAUUUUACCAGUUCUUUGAAGGUCCCAGAGUGGAGACAUGUAGGCACUGGGAGCUCGAGACUCGACUCAGACUCGAAUACGGGACUCGAGACUCGACUCGGACUCGGACUCUGGUAAUGGUGACUCGACUUGGACUCGACUCGGACUCUUCUUUGGUGACUCGGACUUGGACUCGGAUUUGAACACUGGGACUCGAGACUCGACUCGGACUCGACAGUUGGUGACUCGACUACAACACUGGCUGAAACUACGAAGAAGUAGAGAGACUGCUUGCAUUUUACCUCUGGACAAAGACUGAUUACUUCUACACAAUAUAAUAAGAAGUGGAACUCGCCUUUAUCUGAAGAAUUAUUUUUCAUAUUUAGGAAAAAAGCUUGUGGCAACUGUCUUCUCUGAACAGCGGUCUUGUGAACAUGGGCCUCAGUACAAUAAAGGUGUCUGAUGUUGAUGCAGUCUGGGCACUAGUAUCUGUUGGCUUGCUGACUAUCACUGAAGAUGAAGUACUUCUCCAAAUCUUCUCUGCCUUGACCCUGUGUCUUCUGCCAUCAUUGUUCAGUGUAGUACUGCAAAGAACAGUCUCCAGGGUCUACCUCGAACAUUUGCUUCCGGACCGCCAUGUGCUACCUUUGGAUUACUGGUACAUGUGGAUUACCCUGAUACUGUGAAGAACACUUACAAUAUGAUGCUUGACUUGGG
Cyprinus carpio carpio is the source of this 898-nucleotide long non-coding RNA. Lineage: Eukaryota; Metazoa; Chordata; Actinopteri; Cypriniformes; Cyprinidae. The record is from Ensembl.